AUUGGUCAUUGAGUUUGACUGCCCGCCUUCUGAUUCAACAUGUCAAAUCGGCCCAACUGAAGGCCGACGACUCCUUCAACUGACGAAGGCACGGAACGCACUGAACAGACUCGAGUCACUGACCUCGCCAGACUGUCUGACGGCUGAUAAUCAGGUUGGUGUGUCAGUGCCUCAAGGGG
Molecule: long non-coding RNA, 179 nt
Organism: Etheostoma cragini (Arkansas darter)
Lineage: Eukaryota; Metazoa; Chordata; Actinopteri; Perciformes; Percidae
Exons: 3
Source: RefSeq, a predicted model, not a curated record